Molecule: non-coding RNA, 103 nt
Filed under: Bacillus sp. (in: firmicutes)
Lineage: Bacteria; Bacillati; Bacillota; Bacilli; Caryophanales; Bacillaceae
Also listed under: 1 other name
Description: Bacillus sp. SAM-I sequence
Rfam family: SAM riboswitch aptamer (S box leader)
About the family: The SAM riboswitch is found upstream of a number of genes which code for proteins involved in methionine or cysteine biosynthesis in Gram-positive bacteria. The SAM riboswitch acts at the level of transcription termination control. The predicted structure consists of a complex stem-loop region followed by a single stem loop terminator region.
Source: RNAcentral
AUCUUAUCAAGAGCAGGCGGAGGGAUGAGCCCUAUGAAGCCCGGCAACCGACUUUUUUAAGCACGGUGCUAAUUCUCACAGCAGUCAUGCUGAAAGAUAAGAA